RNAcentral lists this ribosomal RNA (465 nucleotides) under uncultured bacterium. Its description in RNAcentral is "partial 16S ribosomal RNA". It matches the Rfam family "Bacterial small subunit ribosomal RNA", at positions 28 to 507 of the family's 1533-position model. The record is from RNAcentral.
GACGAACGCUGGCGGCGUGCUUAACACAUGCAAGUCGUACGGUAAGGCCCUUUCGGGGGUACACGAGUGGCGCACGGGUGAGUAACACAUGAGUAACCUGCCCACAACUUUGGGAUAACGCUAGGAAACUGGUGCUAAUACUGGAUAUGUGCUCCUGCUGCAUGGUGGGGGUUGGAAAGCUCCGGCGGUUGUGGAUGGACUCGCGGCCUAUCAGCUUGUUGGUGGGGUAGUGGCCUACCAAGGCGGCGACGGGUAGCCGGCCUGAGAGGGUGACCGGCCACAUUGGGACUGAGAUACGGCCCAGACGCCUACGGGAGGCAGCAGUGGGGAAUAUUGCACAAUGGGCGCAAGCCUGAUGCAGCAACGCCGCGUGCGGGAUGACGGCCUUCGGGUUGUAAACCGCUUUCAGCAGGGACGAAGCUUUUUGUGACGGUACCUGCAGAAGAAGCACCGGCUAACUACGUG